Molecule: ribosomal RNA, 2812 nt
Filed under: Staphylococcus aureus PPUKM-261-2009
Lineage: Bacteria; Bacillati; Bacillota; Bacilli; Caryophanales; Staphylococcaceae
Description: bacterial LSU rRNA
Rfam family: Bacterial large subunit ribosomal RNA
Source: RNAcentral
AGGGCGCACGGUGGAUGCCUUGGCACUAGAAGCCGAUGAAGGACGUUACUAACGACGAUAUGCUUUGGGGAGCUGUAAGUAAGCUUUGAUCCAGAGAUUUCCGAAUGGGGAAACCCAGCAUGAGUUAUGUCAUGUUAUCGAUAUGUGAAUACAUAGCAUAUCAGAAGGCACACCCGGAGAACUGAAACAUCUUAGUACCCGGAGGAAGAGAAAGAAAAUUCGAUUCCCUUAGUAGCGGCGAGCGAAACGGGAAGAGCCCAAACCAACAAGCUUGCUUGUUGGGGUUGUAGGACACUCUAUACGGAGUUACAAAGGACGACAUUAGACGAAUCAUCUGGAAAGAUGAAUCAAAGAAGGUAAUAAUCCUGUAGUCGAAAAUGUUGUCUCUCUUGAGUGGAUCCUGAGUACGACGGAGCACGUGAAAUUCCGUCGGAAUCUGGGAGGACCAUCUCCUAAGGCUAAAUACUCUCUAGUGACCGAUAGUGAACCAGUACCGUGAGGGAAAGGUGAAAAGCACCCCGGAAGGGGAGUGAAAUAGAACCUGAAACCGUGUGCUUACAAGUAGUCAGAGCCCGUUAAUGGGUGAUGGCGUGCCUUUUGUAGAAUGAACCGGCGAGUUACGAUUUGAUGCAAGGUUAAGCAGUAAAUGUGGAGCCGUAGCGAAAGCGAGUCUGAAUAGGGCGUUUAGUAUUUGGUCGUAGACCCGAAACCAGGUGAUCUACCCUUGGUCAGGUUGAAGUUCAGGUAACACUGAAUGGAGGACCGAACCGACUUACGUUGAAAAGUGAGCGGAUGAACUGAGGGUAGCGGAGAAAUUCCAAUCGAACCUGGAGAUAGCUGGUUCUCUCCGAAAUAGCUUUAGGGCUAGCCUCAAGUGAUGAUUAUUGGAGGUAGAGCACUGUUUGGACGAGGGGCCCCUCUCGGGUUACCGAAUUCAGACAAACUCCGAAUGCCAAUUAAUUUAACUUGGGAGUCAGAACAUGGGUGAUAAGGUCCGUGUUCGAAAGGGAAACAGCCCAGACCACCAGCUAAGGUCCCAAAAUAUAUGUUAAGUGGAAAAGGAUGUGGCGUUGCCCAGACAACUAGGAUGUUGGCUUAGAAGCAGCCAUCAUUUAAAGAGUGCGUAAUAGCUCACUAGUCGAGUGACACUGCGCCGAAAAUGUACCGGGGCUAAACAUAUUACCGAAGCUGUGGAUUGUCCUUUGGACAAUGGUAGGAGAGCGUUCUAAGGGCGUUGAAGCAUGAUCGUAAGGACAUGUGGAGCGCUUAGAAGUGAGAAUGCCGGUGUGAGUAGCGAAAGACGGGUGAGAAUCCCGUCCACCGAUUGACUAAGGUUUCCAGAGGAAGGCUCGUCCGCUCUGGGUUAGUCGGGUCCUAAGCUGAGGCCGACAGGCGUAGGCGAUGGAUAACAGGUUGAUAUUCCUGUACCACCUAUAAUCGUUUUAAUCGAUGGGGGGACGCAGUAGGAUAGGCGAAGCGUGCGAUUGGAUUGCACGUCUAAGCAGUAAGGCUGAGUAUUAGGCAAAUCCGGUACUCGUUAAGGCUGAGCUGUGAUGGGGAGAAGACAUUGUGUCUUCGAGUCGUUGAUUUCACACUGCCGAGAAAAGCCUCUAGAUAGAAAAUAGGUGCCCGUACCGCAAACCGACACAGGUAGUCAAGAUGAGAAUUCUAAGGUGAGCGAGCGAACUCUCGUUAAGGAACUCGGCAAAAUGACCCCGUAACUUCGGGAGAAGGGGUGCUCUUUAGGGUUAACGCCCAGAAGAGCCGCAGUGAAUAGGCCCAAGCGACUGUUUAUCAAAAACACAGGUCUCUGCUAAACCGUAAGGUGAUGUAUAGGGGCUGACGCCUGCCCGGUGCUGGAAGGUUAAGAGGAGUGGUUAGCUUCUGCGAAGCUACGAAUCGAAGCCCCAGUAAACGGCGGCCGUAACUAUAACGGUCCUAAGGUAGCGAAAUUCCUUGUCGGGUAAGUUCCGACCCGCACGAAAGGCGUAACGAUUUGGCACUGUCUCAACGAGAGACUCGGUGAAAUCAUAGUACCUGUGAAGAUGCAGGUUACCCGCGACAGGACGGAAAGACCCCGUGGAGCUUUACUGUAGCCUGAUAUUGAAAUUCGGCACAGCUUGUACAGGAUAGGUAGGAGCCUUUGAAACGUGAGCGCUAGCUUACGUGGAGGCGCUGGUGGGAUACUACCCUAGCUGUGUUGGCUUUCUAACCCGCACCACUUAUCGUGGUGGGAGACAGUGUCAGGCGGGCAGUUUGACUGGGGCGGUCGCCUCCUAAAAGGUAACGGAGGCGCUCAAAGGUUCCCUCAGAAUGGUUGGAAAUCAUUCAUAGAGUGUAAAGGCAUAAGGGAGCUUGACUGCGAGACCUACAAGUCGAGCAGGGUCGAAAGACGGACUUAGUGAUCCGGUGGUUCCGCAUGGAAGGGCCAUCGCUCAACGGAUAAAAGCUACCCCGGGGAUAACAGGCUUAUCUCCCCCAAGAGUUCACAUCGACGGAGGUUUGGCACCUCGAUGUCGGCUCAUCGCAUCCUGGGGCUGUAGUCGGUCCCAAGGGUUGGGCUGUUCGCCCAUUAAAGCGGUACGCGAGCUGGGUUCAGAACGUCGUGAGACAGUUCGGUCCCUAUCCGUCGUGGGCGUAGGAAAUUUGAGAGGAGCUGUCCUUAGUACGAGAGGACCGGGAUGGACAUACCUCUGGUGUACCAGUUGUCGUGCCAACGGCAUAGCUGGGUAGCUAUGUGUGGACGGGAUAAGUGCUGAAAGCAUCUAAGCAUGAAGCCCCCCUCAAGAUGAGAUUUCCCAACUUCGGUUAU